Molecule: ribosomal RNA, 513 nt
Filed under: uncultured bacterium
Lineage: Bacteria
Description: partial 16S ribosomal RNA
Rfam family: Bacterial small subunit ribosomal RNA
Source: RNAcentral
GACGAACGCUGGCGGCGUGCUUAACACAUGCAAGUCGAACGAAAAGAGGGAAAGAGCUUGCUCUUUCCGGAAUUGAGUGGCAAACGGGUGAGUAACACGUAAACAACCUGCCUUCAGGAUGGGGACAACAGACGGAAACGACUGCUAAUACCGAAUAAGUUCCAAGAGCCGCAUGGCCCAUGGAAGAAAAGGUGGCCUCUACCUGUAAGCUAUCGCCUGAAGAGGGGUUUGCGUCUGAUUAGCUGGUUGGUGGGGUAACGGCCCACCAAGGCGACGAUCAGUAGCCGGUCUGAGAGGAUGAACGGCCACACUGGAACUGAGACACGGUCCAGACUCCUACGGGAGGCAGCAGUGGGGAAUCUUCCGCAAUGGGCGAAAGCCUGACGGAGCAACGCCGCGUGAGUGAUGACGGCCUUCGGGUUGUAAAACUCUGUGAUCCGGGACGAAAAGGCAGAGUGCGAAGAACAAACUGCAUUGACGGUACCGGAAAAGCAAGCCACGGCUAACUACGUG